RNAcentral lists this ribosomal RNA (406 nucleotides) under uncultured bacterium. Its description in RNAcentral is "partial 16S ribosomal RNA". It matches the Rfam family "Bacterial small subunit ribosomal RNA", at positions 29 to 526 of the family's 1533-position model. The record is from RNAcentral.
AUUGAACGCUGGCGGCAGGCUUAACACAUGCAAGUCGAGCGAGCGGCGGACGGGUGAGUAAUGUCUGGGAAACUGCCUGAUGGAGGGGGAUAACUACUGGAAACGGUAGCUAAUACCGCAUACCAUCAGAUGUGCCCAGAUGGGAUUAGCUAGUAGGUGGGGUAAUGGCGCACCUAGGCGACGAUCCCUAGCUGGUCUGAGAGGAUGACCAGCCACACUGGAACUGAGACACGGUCCAGACUCCUACGGGAGGCAGCAGUGGGGAAUCGUCCGCAAUGGACGAAAGUCUGACGGAGCAACGCCGCGUGAGGGAUGACGGCCUUCGGGUUGUAAAGCACUUUCAGCGGGGAGGCGUUACCCGCAGAAGAAGCACCGGCUAACUCCGCGCCAGCAGCCGCGGUAAUUC